Molecule: small nuclear RNA, 130 nt
Organism: Amphilophus citrinellus (Midas cichlid)
Lineage: Eukaryota; Metazoa; Chordata; Actinopteri; Cichliformes; Cichlidae
Source: Ensembl
GCUUUCCUUGUCAUGGGGUGAGAGAGCUGCUCAAUGAGCGUUUAGUGAGAGCGGUCCUGCUGACACCACAAUAACAACACACACGCAUCGCCUGGACACACGUCCAGGGUCCGGUGCACUUUUUGGAAAC